RNAcentral lists this long non-coding RNA (513 nucleotides) under Homo sapiens (human). RNAcentral's name for it is "HSALNT0227191". The record is from RNAcentral. Lineage: Eukaryota; Metazoa; Chordata; Mammalia; Primates; Hominidae.
GGAAUGUGGCUCAAGUUCGGGAGGCGUUACCUGUGGAGGGUUUGAGGCAGGCCCAGCAGCGAGGCCACGGUCUGCCGACGCGGGGCCAGGGGCGGGCCCCAGGAUCCGGAGCUUAGGGCGGGGCCGAGUCCGGGUUUGGGGACCGGGAGGCGGGGCCGGUUAGGGCGAGGGUCCCUGGGAUCGUCGGGUCAGGCCUUGGGCCAACGUAGGCACUCUCGCAGUUCCUCCGCCUUCAGGAAGGUCUUUUUGGCAGGGGCCCUACGGGUGCGCGCUUCGGUCCUGGAGGCCUUAUCCAAGCCUCCUCUCCAUCAGCGCCACCCGUCUGGGGUCCGAAAGGAGGGAGCUUUCCCUCUGUCCCCCAGCCUUUGGACUGUCACCAAACAAGCCAUUCGUUCACCAAAUACUUAUUAAGCGCCUACCAGGUACCUGACAAGGGAGAUGUAACGGCCAGAGUUCAGCUGAUGCAGGGCAGGGGAGCCCCCAAGUGGAGCCUAGUGUGUCCGGAACUGGUGG